AAGGCUGUUGAGCUGUAUCCACCAUUGUGAGGUCUGAGGUGGUUAUCGUGAUGCCUCCUCAGCUGUUGCCAUUGGCUGUGGACUGCCUGUGAUGUCACAAAAGCACAUGGCAGCUGUGCUGAUAUAAAGGCGGUCCACUCCCUCUUCCCAGGCAGAAUGCAGGGCCAACGGCUGUGGUUGUCAGCACUGGGUGGUCUCCUUCCAUGUGGAGGUGAACUGGCCAGUGGAAGGAGGUGGAAAGUUUAACGUAGGUGCUGAAAACAGGCCAAGACGGGCAUUUAAAACAUGACAGUCAACGCGAGCAUUUUGUCAAAGGAAAGAGGCGAGUGA
Long non-coding RNA from Podarcis raffonei (Aeolian wall lizard), 330 nucleotides. RefSeq lists it as uncharacterized. The transcript is spliced from 2 exons. The record is from RefSeq and is a predicted model, not a curated record. Lineage: Eukaryota; Metazoa; Chordata; Lepidosauria; Squamata; Lacertidae.